CGUAGGGUGCAAGCGUUGUCCGGAAUUAUUGGGCGUAAAGAGCUCGUAGGCGGUUUGUCGCGUCUGCUGUGAAAUCCGGAGGCUCAACCUCCGGCCUGCAGUGGGUACGGGCAGACUAGAGUGCGGUAGGGGAGAUUGGAAUUCCUGGUGUAGCGGUGGAAUGCGCAGAUAUCAGGAGGAACACCAAUGGCGAAGGCAGAUCUCUGGGCCGUAACUGACGCUGAGGAGCGAAAGCAUGGGGAGCGAACAGGAUU
Molecule: ribosomal RNA, 254 nt
Filed under: uncultured bacterium
Lineage: Bacteria
Description: partial 16S ribosomal RNA
Rfam family: Bacterial small subunit ribosomal RNA
Source: RNAcentral